UACGUAGGGGGCGAGCGUUGUCCGGAAUUAUUGGGCGUAAAGCGCGCGCAGGCGGUGACUUAAGUCUGGUGUAUAAGCCCAAGGCUCAACCUUGGGAGGCAUUGGAAACUGGGUUACUGGAGUACAGGAGAGGAAAGUGGAAUUCCACGUGUAGCGGUGAAAUGCGUAGAGAUGUGGAGGAACACCAGUGGCGAAGGCGACUUUCUGGCCUGAAACUGACGCUGAGGCGCGAAAGCGUGGGGAGCAAACAGG
RNAcentral lists this ribosomal RNA (252 nucleotides) under uncultured bacterium. Its description in RNAcentral is "partial 16S ribosomal RNA". It matches the Rfam family "Bacterial small subunit ribosomal RNA", at positions 524 to 776 of the family's 1533-position model. The record is from RNAcentral.